UACAGAGGGUGCGAGCGUUGUUCGGAAUUAUUGGGCGUAAAGGGCGCGUAGGCGGUGCGGUAAGUCACCUGUGAAAUCUCCUGGCUCAACUGGGAGCUUGCAGGCGAAACUGCCGUGCUGGAGUGUGGGAGAGGUGCGUGGAAUUCCUGGUGUAGCGGUGAAAUGCGUAGAUAUCAGGAGGAACACCGGUGGUGUAGACGGCUUACUGGACCAUAACUGACGCUGAGACACGAAAGCGUGGGUAGCAAACAGG
Molecule: ribosomal RNA, 253 nt
Filed under: uncultured bacterium
Lineage: Bacteria
Description: partial 16S ribosomal RNA
Rfam family: Bacterial small subunit ribosomal RNA
Source: RNAcentral